Molecule: long non-coding RNA, 357 nt
Organism: Cryptomeria japonica (Japanese cedar)
Lineage: Eukaryota; Viridiplantae; Streptophyta; Pinopsida; Cupressales; Cupressaceae
Exons: 3
Source: RefSeq, a predicted model, not a curated record
UCAUGCAACAACAAAGUGAGUACAUUUAUUAUAAAGUAUUUUGGUAAUUUACAUAGCAAUGUCUUAUUUUUAUUUCAUAUAUUAAACAUAUGUUAUUGUAGGUUUGGAUGAUCAAGCAAAUACUCGACGACAUCGAUUACCUUUUUCCAUUGAUCUAAACCAAACAAUAACAGAUGAAAUAGACCAUAUAGAUGAUAAAAUUUGUGGAGAUCAACCAUCAAUGGCCAAUGUUAUCCCCACUCAGACAUUUCAACAAGCCAAUCCAGUUUUAAAUGAUCAACAAAUACAUGAAGAACAUAUGUUGCCCUUUCCUACGGAUCUUAACCAAACAACAACAAUGGAUGCAAUGCAAACUAG